GAUGAACGCUGGCGGCGUGCCUAAUACAUGCAAGUCGAGCGAACAGAUGAGGAGCUUGCUCCUCUGACGUUAGCGGCGGACGGGUGAGUAACACGUGGAUAACCUACCUAUAAGACUGGGAUAACUUCGGGAAACCGGAGCUACUACCGGAUAAUAUAUUGAACCGCAUGGUUCAAUAGUUAAAGACGGUUUUGCUGUCACUUAUAGCUUGAUCCGCCCCGCAUGAGCUAGUUGGUAAGGUAACGGCUUACCAAGGCAACGAUGCGUAGCCGACCUAAGAGCGAGAACGACCACACGGCACCUGAGACACAGUCCCGACUCCUACGAGAGGCAGCAGUAGUGAAUCUUCAGGAAUGGGCGAGAGCAGGACGGAGGACAGCCGCGUGAGUGCUGAAGGACUUCGGAUCGUAAAACUCUGUUGUUAGGGAAGAACAAAUGUGUAUGUAACUAUGCUCAUAUUGACAGUACCUACUCAGAAAGCCACGGCUAACUACGUG
RNAcentral lists this ribosomal RNA (497 nucleotides) under uncultured bacterium. RNAcentral's name for it is "partial 16S ribosomal RNA". It matches the Rfam family "Bacterial small subunit ribosomal RNA", at positions 28 to 507 of the family's 1533-position model. The record is from RNAcentral.